This 429-nucleotide ribosomal RNA is filed under the name uncultured beta proteobacterium. Its description in RNAcentral is "bacterial SSU rRNA". It matches the Rfam family "Bacterial small subunit ribosomal RNA", at positions 355 to 776 of the family's 1533-position model. Lineage: Bacteria; Pseudomonadati; Pseudomonadota; Betaproteobacteria. The record is from RNAcentral.
UGGGGAAUUUUGGACAAUGGGGGCAACCCUGAUCCAGCCAUGCCGCGUGCGGGAAGAAGGCCUUCGGGUUGUAAACCGCUUUUAGUCGGAAAGAAAAGGCACGCCCUAAUACGGCGUGUUCUUGACGGUACCGGCGGAAUAAGCACCGGCUAACUACGUGCCAGCAGCCGCGGUAAUACGUAGGGUGCGAGCGUUAAUCGGAAUUACUGGGCGUAAAGCGUGCGCAGGCGGUUCGUUGUGUCUGAUGUGAAAUCCCCGGGCUCAACCCGGGAACUGCAUUGGAAACUGGCGGACUUGAGUGUGGCAGAGGGGGGUGGAAUUCCGCGUGUAGCAGUGAAAUGCGUAGAUAUGCGGAGGAACACCGAUGGCGAAGGCAGCCCCCUGGGCCAACACUGACGCUCAGGCACGAAAGCGUGGGGAGCAAACAGG